Molecule: transfer RNA, 68 nt
Filed under: Clostridium botulinum
Lineage: Bacteria; Bacillati; Bacillota; Clostridia; Eubacteriales; Clostridiaceae
Description: tRNA-Ile
Rfam family: tRNA
About the family: Transfer RNA (tRNA) molecules are approximately 80 nucleotides in length. Their secondary structure includes four short double-helical elements and three loops (D, anti-codon, and T loops).
Source: RNAcentral
GCUCAGCUGGUUAGAGCGCACGCCUGAUAAGCGUGAGGUCGAUGGUUCGAGUCCAUUUAGACCCACCA